UACGUAGGGUGCGAGCGUUAAUCGGAAUUACUGGGCGUAAAGCGUGCGCAGGCGGUUUUGUAAGCCAGAUGUGAAAUCCCCGGGCUUAACCUGGGUAUGGCAUUUGGGACUGCAAGGCUCGAGUGCGGCAGAGGAGACUGGAAUUCCUGGUGUAGCAGUGAAAUGCGUAGAUAUCAGGAGGAACACCGAUGGCGAAGGCAGGUCUCUGGGCUGACACUGACGCUCAUGCACGAAAGCGUGGGGAGCAAACAGG
RNAcentral lists this ribosomal RNA (253 nucleotides) under uncultured bacterium. RNAcentral's name for it is "partial 16S ribosomal RNA". It matches the Rfam family "Bacterial small subunit ribosomal RNA", at positions 524 to 776 of the family's 1533-position model. The record is from RNAcentral.